CCUACGGGGCGCAGCAGUGAGGAAUAUUGGUCAAUGGGCGUAAGCCUGAACCAGCCAAGUCGCGUGAGGGAUGAAGGUUCUAUGGAUCGUAAACCUCUUUUAUAAGGGAAUAAAGUGUGGGACGUGUCCUGUUUUGUAUGUACCUUAUGAAUCAGGAUCGGCUAACUCCGUGCCAGCAGCCGCGGUAAUACGGAGGAUCCGAGCGUUCUCCGGAUUUAUUGGGUUUAAAGGGUGCGUAGGUGGCCUUUUAAGUCAGCGGUGAAAGUCUGUGGCUCAACCAUAGAAUUGCCGUUGAAACUGGGAGGCUUGAGUAUGUUUGAGGCAGGCGGAAUGCGUGGUGUAGCGGUGAAAUGCUUAGAUAUCACGCAGAACCCCGAUUGCGAAGGCAGCCUGCCAAGCCAUGACUGACGCUGAUGCACGAAAGCGUGGGGAUCAAACAGGAUUAGAUACCCCUGUAGUC
Molecule: ribosomal RNA, 460 nt
Filed under: uncultured bacterium
Lineage: Bacteria
Description: partial 16S ribosomal RNA
Rfam family: Bacterial small subunit ribosomal RNA
Source: RNAcentral